This 876-nucleotide ribosomal RNA is filed under the name Halorubrum sp. RNAcentral's name for it is "bacterial SSU rRNA". It matches the Rfam family "Archaeal small subunit ribosomal RNA", at positions 76 to 967 of the family's 1478-position model. The record is from RNAcentral. Lineage: Archaea; Methanobacteriati; Methanobacteriota; Halobacteria; Halobacteriales; Haloferacaceae.
UCGUGGCGAAUAGCUCAGUAACACGUGGCCAAACUACCCUUCGGAGCUCCAUACCCUCGGGAAACUGAGGCUAAUAGAGCAUACCACAAUCCUGCUGGAAUGAGGAUUGGGUCAAACGCUCCGGCGCCGAAGGAUGUGGCUGCGGCCGAUUAGGUAGACGGUGGGGUAACGGCCCACCGUGCCAAUAAUCGGUACGGGUCAUGAGAGCGAGAACCCGGAGACGGAAUCUGAGACAAGAUUCCGGGCCCUACGGGGCGCAGCAGGCGCGAAACCUUUACACUGCACGCCAGUGCGAUAAGGGGAUCCCAAGUGCGCAGGCAUAGAGCCUGUGCUUUUGUACACCGUAGGGAGGUGUACGAAUAAGGGCUGGGCAAGACCGGUGCCAGCCGCCGCGGUAAUACCGGCAGCCCGAGUGAUGGCCGAUUUUAUUGGGCCUAAAGCGUCCGUAGCUGGCCGCGCAAGUCCAUCGGAAAAUCCACCCGCCCAACGGGUGGGCGUCCGGUGGAAACUGCGUGGCUUGGGACCGGAAGGCUCGACGGGUACGUCCGGGGUAGGAGUGAAAUCCCGUAAUCCUGGACGGACCGCCGAUGGCGAAAGCACGUCGCGAGGACUGAUCCGACAGUGAGGGACGAAAGCAGGGUCUCGAACCGGAUUAGAUACCCGGGUAGUCCUGGCGUAAACAAUGUCUGUUAGUGUGAUCUCACUACGAGUGAGUGCUGUGCGAGGGAAGCGCUAACAGACGCUGGGAAGUACGUCCGCAAGGAUGAAACUUAAAGGAAUUGGCGGGGAGCACUACAACGGAGGAGCUGCGGUUUAUUGGACUCAACGCGGACAUCUCACAGCAUCGACUGUAGUAUUGACGAUCAGGUGAUGACU